Molecule: non-coding RNA, 257 nt
Organism: Cyanistes caeruleus (blue tit)
Lineage: Eukaryota; Metazoa; Chordata; Aves; Passeriformes; Paridae
Source: RefSeq, a predicted model, not a curated record
CAGAUGGCAGUGGGGAGGAUGGCAGUGGUGUUCCCUGGCCACCGAAAGUCGUGAGCCCGGCCCCCAGCAGCGGGCUGGCACCCACCGUUUAUUUCCGGGCGCUGGUGAACUUCACCCACAGCAUCGACUACAGCUCACGGCUGGAGGACCCCGAUUCUGAGGAAUUCAAGGAGAUUUCUGAGGCUGUUGUGGAUACGCUGGAGUCAGAGUAUUACAAAGUGCCUGGGGAGCAGGUGGUCAGUGUGGUCUUCAUCAAG